Carassius gibelio (silver crucian carp) is the source of this 1409-nucleotide long non-coding RNA. RefSeq lists it as uncharacterized. The record is from RefSeq and is a predicted model, not a curated record. Lineage: Eukaryota; Metazoa; Chordata; Actinopteri; Cypriniformes; Cyprinidae. The transcript is spliced from 3 exons.
GGUAACCUGAAGAGCAGGCGAGAACGUGACCGUCACAAACGACCACCAGAUUCAUCAGAUCCAGCGCUUCACUGCACGUCUCACUCACUGCUGAUAGACUACGAGCCUGAAUACACUGAAUAUAGUCUGGUGAAGUCUGGGUUUCUGCAGGUUUUAUGAAAGUAAAUUUAAGGCUUUUUAAAGACCUUUUUAAGAACAGAUGAAGAAAAUUGAAGGACUGAAUUUAAUCCAUCAAUAUGGUCUCUCUUAAUGAAAGAGUUUAAAAAUACUUCUUCUAGCAGAUCUCCUUUACUUUUUAAUUAAUUUAAUCAAAAAAUAAAUAAAAAGAAAAUACCCUAACUAUAGUAUAGAAAUAACUUUUGUUCCUUUUGAUCAAACAUCUUUAAACAGAGGUAUUUCCUCCGUCUUUCGGUCUUGUUCUGCAGUGCUAAUGUCUGAAGAUGCAUUCUCUGGAGAAGCAGGAUGAGUCUUGUUUUAUGAGAAACAGAUCAAAAUGAAAAUAGUUUAGAAUUAAAACAACAAAUAUCUGCCAAUGAGCUCAGAAAAAUCAACUUAAUUGAAAGCAUAAAGUUUUAUUGCCCACUGACAGAUAUUUGUUCUGAUUUUAAACAUAAACUCAAUUUUGUUCUAUUUCUUAGAAGACAAGACUUGACAUCUUCAUCUUGUGUCUCCAGUACUUGUGUCUUGAUUUACGGAGGUUUACACACAAACACUGAGGAAGAGAAUCUUUUUUUUUUUUUUUUUGCAGUUCAUGCAACAUUUACUGCCAUGACUUUAGGAAUGUAAGACUUUCUGCUUUGAUGUAAGACUUUAUCAUUCAUUAAUUUGUGUUGGGGUGAAUAAAGACUUAAGACGCACAGAAAGCUGUAUGCUAUAUUCUGCAGUUAUGAUGACAGUAGUUACGCUGUUGUCACUCCGCAGAAAACAGGAAGAGCUUUAUUUGACCGCAGCAGGUACAACAGUCUGGACCGAGUACAGUCAGAUAUUUUGGGAUGUCCUUCCUGGCUAACAAUAGAGCUAAACUUAGAGGAAAAUGUGUUUGUUCAGACCAACAGUGUUCAGGUGAAGGUCCAUCUGUUUUUACGUAGAUGUUUUAAAUAGCACUACAUUAACACACUGCCCUAUUGUUCUUAGUUUCCUCGUGUGACUGUUCUUCAGAUAACUAUUGUUUCAGCUGAAACAUGAUUUCCAUGAGCCACGUAAGAGCUGAAGCAGAGAGCAGCACUUUGCUUGGAAGACAACGCUGGACAAAUCAUUUCAGCCCUCGUGCAGUUUCAGACUCACCGCAGAAACAGUAAAUGAGCCCCAGAGCGAAGCCGAGCGAGCAGCUGACGGCCGGCAGCAGAUCCGAUUCUCUCCUGAUCUCCAGAUCACAGACGGCUCUCGUGGUCUCCGUCGCUGAGAGAGAC